Molecule: ribosomal RNA, 468 nt
Filed under: uncultured bacterium
Lineage: Bacteria
Description: partial 16S ribosomal RNA
Rfam family: Bacterial small subunit ribosomal RNA
Source: RNAcentral
GACGAACGCUGGCGGCGUGCUUAACACAUGCAAGUCGAACGGAAAGGCCCUGCUUUUGUGGGGUGCUCGAGUGGCGAACGGGUGAGUAACACGUGAGUAACCUGCCCUUGACUUUGGGAUAACUUCAGGUAACUGGGGCUAAUACCGGAUAGGAGCUCCUGCUGCAUGGUGGGGGUUGGAAAGUUUCGGCGGUUGGGGAUGGACUCGCGGCUUAUCAGCUUGUUGGUUGGGUAGUGGCUUACCAAGGCUUUGACGGGUAGCCGGCCUGGGAGGGUGACCGGCCACAUUGGGACUGAGAUACGGCCCAGACGCCUACGGGAGGCAGCAGUGGGGAAUAUUGCACAAUGGGCGGAAGCCUGAUGCAGCAACGCCGCGUGCGGGAUGACGGCCUUCGGGUUGUAAACCGCUUUCGCCUGUGACGAAGCGUGAGUGACGGUAAUGGGUAAAGAAGCACCGGCUAACUACGUG